Molecule: unclassified non-coding RNA, 345 nt
Filed under: soil metagenome
Description: partial contains 5.8S ribosomal RNA, internal transcribed spacer 2, and large subunit ribosomal RNA
Rfam family: 5.8S ribosomal RNA (bases 1-119)
Source: RNAcentral
GAUGAAGAACGUAGCGAAAUGCGAUACGUAAUGUGAAUUGCAAAUUCAGUGAAUCAUCGAGUCUUUGGACGCACAUUGCGCCCCCUGGUAUUCCGGGGGGCAUGCCUGUCCGAGCGUCAUUGCUGCCCUCAAGCACGGCUUGUGUGUUGGGCCCCGUCCUCCGAUCCCGGGGGACGGGCCCGAAAGGCAGCGGCGGCACCGCGUCCGGUCCUCGAGCGUAUGGGGCUUUGUCACCCGCUCUGUAGGCCCGGCCGGCGCUUGCCGAUCAACCCAAAUUUUUAUCCAGGUUGACCUCGGAUCAGGUAGGGAUACCCGCUGAACUUAAGCAUAUCAAUAAGCGGAGGA